Molecule: ribosomal RNA, 901 nt
Filed under: Staphylococcus caprae
Lineage: Bacteria; Bacillati; Bacillota; Bacilli; Caryophanales; Staphylococcaceae
Description: bacterial SSU rRNA
Rfam family: Bacterial small subunit ribosomal RNA
Source: RNAcentral
GAGUGUGUGUGAUAUCCCCGCGCUCAGGAUGAACGCUGGCGGCGUGCCUAAUACAUGCAAGUCGAGCGAACAGACGAGGAGCUUGCUCCUCUGACGUAGCGGCGGACGGGUGAGUAACACGUGGAUAACCUACCUAUAAGACUGGGAUAACUUCGGGAAACCGGAGCUAAUACCGGAUAACAUGUUGAACCGCAUGGUUCAACAGUGAAAGACGGUCUUGCUGUCACUUAUAGAUGGAUCCGCGCCGCAUUAGCUAGUUGGUAAGGUAACGGCUUACCAAGGCAACGAUGCGUAGCCGACCUGAGAGGGUGAUCGGCCACACUGGAACUGAGACACGGUCCAGACUCCUACGGGAGGCAGCAGUAGGGAAUCUUCCGCAAUGGGCGAAAGCCUGACGGAGCAACGCCGCGUGAGUGAAGAAGGUCUUCGGAUCGUAAAACUCUGUUAUUAGGGAAGAACAAAUGUGUAAGUAACUAUGCACGUCUUGACGGUACCUAAUCAGAAAGCCACGGCUAACUACGUGCCAGCAGCCGCGGUAAUACGUAGGUGGCAAGCGUUAUCCGGAAUUAUUGGGCGUAAAGCGCGCGUAGGCGGUUUUUUAAGUUUGAUGUGAAAGCCCACGGCUCAACCGUGGAGGGUCAUUGGAAACUGGAAAACUUGAGUGCAGAAGAGGAAAGUGGAAUUCCAUGUGUAGCGGUGAAAUGCGCAGAGAUAUGGAGGAACACCAGUGGCGAAGGCGACUUUCUGGUCUGUAACUGACGCUGAUGUGCGAAAGCGUGGGGAUCAAACAGGAUUAGAUACCCUGGUAGUCCACGCCGUAAACGAUGAGUGCUAAGUGUUAGGGGGUUUCCGCCCCUUAGUGCUGCAGCUAACGCAUAAGCACUCCGCCGGGGGGGACCCC